RNAcentral lists this ribosomal RNA (462 nucleotides) under Vreelandella stevensii. RNAcentral's name for it is "partial 16S ribosomal RNA". It matches the Rfam family "Bacterial small subunit ribosomal RNA", at positions 338 to 795 of the family's 1533-position model. Lineage: Bacteria; Pseudomonadati; Pseudomonadota; Gammaproteobacteria; Oceanospirillales; Halomonadaceae. The record is from RNAcentral.
CCUACGGGCGGCAGUGGGGAAUAUUGGACAAUGGGCGAAAGCCUGAUCCAGCCAUGCCGCGUGUGUGAAGAAGGCCUUCGGGUUGUAAAGCACUUUCAGUGGGGAAGAAAGCCUUGGGGCUAAUACCCUCGAGGAAGGACAUCACCCACAGAAGAAGCACCGGCUAACUCCGUGCCAGCAGCCGCGGUAAUACGGAGGGUGCGAGCGUUAAUCGGAAUUACUGGGCGUAAAGCGCGCGUAGGCGGUCUGAUAAGCCGGUUGUGAAAGCCCCGGGCUCAACCUGGGAACGGCAUCCGGAACUGUCAGGCUAGAGUGCAGGAGAGGAAGGUAGAAUUCCCGGUGUAGCGGUGAAAUGCGUAGAGAUCGGGAGGAAUACCAGUGGCGAAGGCGGCCUUCUGGACUGACACUGACGCUGAGGUGCGAAAGCGUGGGUAGCAAACAGGAUUAGAUACCCCGGUAGUC